UACGUAGGGUGCAAGCGUUAAUCGGAAUUACUGGGCGUAAAGGGUGCGCAGGCGGUUUUAUAAGUCAGCUGUGAAAUCCCCGGGCUCAACCUGGGAAUGGCAGUUGAGACUGUAAGGCUAGAGUGUGUCAGAGGGGGGUAGAAUUCCACGUGUAGCAGUGAAAUGCGUAGAGAUGUGGAGGAAUACCGAUGGCGAAGGCAGCCCCCUGGGAUAACACUGACGCUCAGGCACGAAAGCGUGGGGAGCAAACAGG
RNAcentral lists this ribosomal RNA (253 nucleotides) under uncultured bacterium. Its description in RNAcentral is "partial 16S ribosomal RNA". It matches the Rfam family "Bacterial small subunit ribosomal RNA", at positions 524 to 776 of the family's 1533-position model. The record is from RNAcentral.